UGGGGAAUAUUGCACAAUGGGCGCAAGCCUGAUGCAGCCAUGCCGCGUGUAUGAAGAAGGCCUUCGGGUUGUAAAGUACUUUCAGUCGGGAGGAAGGUGGUAAGGUUAAUAACCUUGGCAAUUGACGUUACCGACAGAAGAAGCACCGGCUAACUCCGUGCCAGCAGCCGCGGUAAUACGGAGGUGGCAAGCGUUGUCCGGAUUUAUUGGGCGUAAAGCGAGCGCAGGCGGUUUCUUAAGUCUGAUGUGAAAGCCCCCGGCUCAACCGGGGAGGGUCAUUGGAAACUGGGAGACUUGAGUGCAGAAGAGGAGAGUGGAAUUCCAUGUGUAGCGGUGAAAUGCGUAGAUAUAUGGAGGAACACCAGUGGCGAAGGCGGCUCUCUGGUCUGUAACUGACGCUGAGGCUCGAAAGCGUGGGGAGCAAACAGG
This 429-nucleotide ribosomal RNA is filed under the name Chloroflexota bacterium. RNAcentral's name for it is "Chloroflexi bacterium partial 16S ribosomal RNA". It matches the Rfam family "Bacterial small subunit ribosomal RNA", at positions 355 to 776 of the family's 1533-position model. The record is from RNAcentral. Lineage: Bacteria; Bacillati; Chloroflexota.